AACGCGAAGAACCUUACCUGGGUUUGACAUCCCCGGAUAACCCUAGAAAUAGGAGUUCCCCUUCGGGGGCCGGGAGACAGGUGCUGCAUGGCUGUCGUCAGCUCGUAUCGUGAGAUGUCGGGUUAAGUCCCUUAACGAGCGCAACCCCUAUCCCUAGUUGCCACCAUUCAGUUGGGCACUCUACGGAGACUGCCGGUGUUAAACCGGAGGAAGGUGGGGAUGACGUCAAGUCCUCAUGGCCUUUAUAUCCAGGGCUACACACGUGCUACAAUGGCCGGUACAAAGGGUUGCCAACCCGCGAGGGGGAGCUAAUCUCAGAAAGCCGGUCUCAGUUCGGAUUGAAGUCUGCAAUUCGACUUCAUGAAGCUGGAAUCGCUAGUAAUCGCGGAUCAGAACGCCGCGGUGAAUACGUUCCCGGGCCUUGUACACACCGCGUGUCU
Molecule: ribosomal RNA, 440 nt
Filed under: uncultured bacterium
Lineage: Bacteria
Description: bacterial SSU rRNA
Rfam family: Bacterial small subunit ribosomal RNA
Source: RNAcentral